UUAAGCGACUAAGCGUACACGGUGGAUGCCCUGGCAGUCAGAGGCGAUGAAGGACGUGCUAAUCUGCGAAAAGCGCCGGCGAGGUGAUAUGAACCUUUGACCCGGCGAUGUCCGAAUGGGGAAACCCAGUGCAAUUCGUUGCACUAUCGUUAACUGAAUACAUAGGUUAACGAGGCGAACCGGGGGAACUGAAACAUCUAAGUACCCCGAGGAAAAGAAAUCAACCGAGAUUCCCCCAGUAGCGGCGAGCGAACGGGGAGCAGCCCAGAGUCUGAAUCAGCUUGUGUGUUAGUGGAAGCGUCUGGAAAGUCGCACGGUACAGGGUGACAGUCCCGUACACGAAAGCACACAGGUUGUGAACUCGAAGAGUAGGGCGGGACACGUGGUAUCCUGUCUGAAUAUGGGGGGACCAUCCUCCAAGGCUAAAUACUCCUGACUGACCGAUAGUGAACCAGUACCGUGAGGGAAAGGCGAAAAGAACCCCGGCGAGGGGAGUGAAAAAGAACCUGAAACCGUGUACGUACAAGCAGUGGGAGCACCUUCGUGGUGUGACUGCGUACCUUUUGUAUAAUGGGUCAGCGACUUAUAUUCUGUAGCAAGGUUAACCGUAUAGGGGAGCCGAAGGGAAACCGAGUCUUAACUGGGCGUUAAGUUGCAGGGUAUAGACCCGAAACCCGGUGAUCUAGCCAUGGGCAGGUUGAAGGUUGGGUAACACUAACUGGAGGACCGAACCGACUAAUGUUGAAAAAUUAGCGGAUGACUUGUGGCUGGGGGUGAAAGGCCAAUCAAACCGGGAGAUAGCUGGUUCUCCCCGAAAGCUAUUUAGGUAGCGCCUCGUGAACUCAUCUUCGGGGGUAGAGCACUGUUUCGGCUAGGGGGCCAUCCCGGCUUACCAACCCGAUGCAAACUACGAAUACCGAAGAAUGUUAUCACGGGAGACACACGGCGGGUGCUAACGUCCGUCGUGAAGAGGGAAACAACCCAGACCGCCAGCUAAGGUCCCAAAGUCAUGGUUAAGUGGGAAACGAUGUGGGAAGGCACAGACAGCCAGGAUGUUGGCUUAGAAGCAGCCAUCAUUUAAAGAAAGCGUAAUAGCUCACUGGUCGAGUCGGCCUGCGCGGAAGAUGUAACGGGGCUAAACCAUGCACCGAAGCUGCGGCAGCGACGCUUAGGCGUUGUUGGGUAGGGGAGCGUUCUGUAAGCCGUUGAAGGUGUGCUGUGAGGCAUGCUGGAGGUAUCAGAAGUGCGAAUGCUGACAUAAGUAACGAUAAAGCGGGUGAAAAGCCCGCUCGCCGGAAGACCAAGGGUUCCUGUCCAACGUUAAUCGGGGCAGGGUGAGUCGACCCCUAAGGCGAGGCCGAAAGGCGUAGUCGAUGGGAAACAGGUUAAUAUUCCUGUACUUGGUGUUACUGCGAAGGGGGGACGGAGAAGGCUAUGUUAGCCGGGCGACGGUUGUCCCGGUUUAAGCAUGUAGGCGGAGGUUCCAGGUAAAUCCGGUACCUUUUAACGCUGAGGUGUGAUGACGAGGCACUACGGUGCUGAAGUAACAAAUGCCCUGCUUCCAGGAAAAGCCUCUAAGCAUCAGGUAACACGAAAUCGUACCCCAAACCGACACAGGUGGUCAGGUAGAGAAUACCAAGGCGCUUGAGAGAACUCGGGUGAAGGAACUAGGCAAAAUGGUGCCGUAACUUCGGGAGAAGGCACGCUGAUAUGUAGGUGAAGCCCCUGCGGGUGGAGCUGAAAUCAGUCGAAGAUACCAGCUGGCUGCAACUGUUUAUUAAAAACACAGCACUGUGCAAACACGAAAGUGGACGUAUACGGUGUGACGCCUGCCCGGUGCCGGAAGGUUAAUUGAUGGGGUUAGCGGUAACGCGAAGCUCUUGAUCGAAGCCCCGGUAAACGGCGGCCGUAACUAUAACGGUCCUAAGGUAGCGAAAUUCCUUGUCGGGUAAGUUCCGACCUGCACGAAUGGCGUAAUGAUGGCCAGGCUGUCUCCACCCGAGACUCAGUGAAAUUGAACUCGCUGUGAAGAUGCAGUGUACCCGCGGCAAGACGGAAAGACCCCGUGAACCUUUACUAUAGCUUGACACUGAACACUGGUCCUUGAUGUGUAGGAUAGGUGGGAGGCUUUGAAGCGUGGACGCCAGUCUGCGUGGAGCCGACCUUGAAAUACCACCCUUUAAUGGCUGGUGUUCUAACGUAGACCCGUAAUCCGGGUUGCGGACAGUGUCUGGUGGGUAGUUUGACUGGGGCGGUCUCCUCCCAAAGAGUAACGGAGGAGCACGAAGGUUAGCUAAUCCUGGUCGGACAUCAGGAGGUUAGUGCAAUGGCAUAAGCUAGCUUGACUGCGAGAGUGACGGCUCGAGCAGGUGCGAAAGCAGGUCAUAGUGAUCCGGUGGUUCUGAAUGGAAGGGCCAUCGCUCAACGGAUAAAAGGUACUCCGGGGAUAACAGGCUGAUACCGCCCAAGAGUUCAUAUCGACGGCGGUGUUUGGCACCUCGAUGUCGGCUCAUCACAUCCUGGGGCUGAAGUAGGUCCCAAGGGUAUGGCUGUUCGCCAUUUAAAGUGGUACGCGAGCUGGGUUUAGAACGUCGUGAGACAGUUCGGUCCCUAUCUGCCGUGGGCGCUGGAGAAUUGAGGGGGGCUGCUCCUAGUACGAGAGGACCGGAGUGGACGCAUCACUGGUGUUCGGGUUGUCAUGCCAAUGGCACUGCCCGGUAGCUAAAUGCGGAAAAGAUAAGUGCUGAAAGCAUCUAAGCACGAAACUUGCCCCGAGAUGAGUUCUCCCUGACCCUUUAAGGGUCCUGAAGGAACGUUGAAGACUACGACGUUGAUAGGUCGGGUGUGUAAGCGCAGCGAUGCGUUGAGCUAACCGAUACUAAUGAACCGUGAGGCUUAACCU
RNAcentral lists this ribosomal RNA (2902 nucleotides) under Enterobacter asburiae. RNAcentral's name for it is "23S ribosomal RNA". It matches the Rfam family "Bacterial large subunit ribosomal RNA". Lineage: Bacteria; Pseudomonadati; Pseudomonadota; Gammaproteobacteria; Enterobacterales; Enterobacteriaceae. The record is from RNAcentral.